CUCUGCAGGAAGAUAAACAUGCAACUCCUUACGGGAUGCUGUAGCGGGUAACUUUUUGGAUGCGAGGCAAGUCUUUCCUCUGACAGAAAAAGUUUCAUGGUUGACCGGCUGUCUAUGGUGUCUCACCAAUGGCUGACUCUUGCAAGAUGGAAAAGAUGGGGUGUGCUUUUGUAACGGAGGACAGCUGUUUCUUGAAAACUCCCCAAACAACGCCCAGUGUCUUGGUUUAAACAAGGAUGGCUCACUGAUACUGUGCAAGAUGAGAGAAAACCCCAAACAGGUAUUGACUUACCUGAGAGGCACUGUGGUGGUCUUAGCAUGCGAUAAUCUGGGCAGUGAUGGGAGCCUGAAAUCCUCUCCGCUGGAAUUAGAAAGUGGGAGCAUGGAGCUGGAUAGCAUGUAAGUUUCGCCCAUAGUUUGUUGACUUUGCAUUGCCCACUUAAAUUUGGCAGGUUUCAUGUCUAAUCCAGGAGAUUUACUAACUAUCUCAUGCCUGUCUCGACGGCACCAGACGGACUGCAUGAACCCUCUGGGGGUGCAUGUGUCCAUAUACAGUGAUCAAUAAUGUAUGAGCAUUAAAAACACAUGAAGUGAGCCCAUUGGUUGCACACCACCAAAUUCUCCCUCCCAUUGUUCCUCUCUCAUUUUGAUGUCACCUUAUAGGAGACUUGAAUGAACACAAAAAGCCUUAUAUUACAAAGGCUAUUAAUCUUAAUUUCAUAAACCAUUGUUUAACACCUUAGACUAAAAUGAUAAACAAAAAACUUUAAUAUCCCUUAACCCAAAGCAGUCUCUUUAUAAUAAUUUAGAGUUGUUUACACAUUGAACACAAAUGUUUUAAACUUAAGGAUGU
Long non-coding RNA from Misgurnus anguillicaudatus (oriental weatherfish), 853 nucleotides. RefSeq lists it as uncharacterized. The record is from RefSeq and is a predicted model, not a curated record. NCBI's taxonomy places the organism in Eukaryota, Metazoa, Chordata, Actinopteri, Cypriniformes, Cobitidae.